RNAcentral lists this ribosomal RNA (401 nucleotides) under uncultured Diversisporales. RNAcentral describes it as "eukaryotic LSU rRNA". The stretch from base 346 to 401 matches the Rfam family "Eukaryotic large subunit ribosomal RNA", at positions 1 to 56 of the family's 3401-position model. The record is from RNAcentral. Lineage: Eukaryota; Fungi; Glomeromycota; Glomeromycetes; Diversisporales.
CGUCGAUCUCGUGAAUCAUCGAAUCUUUGAACGCAUUUUGCACCUGGUCGCUGUUGUGGUGACCAGGUAUACUUGUUUGAGUAUCUACAAUCCUCUCCACCCCCCUUGGGGGGUGGGACAUGAGAGUUCGAUAAUGCACAUUGUGUGUCGUCGUCUCUUGAAAGAUAGGCCGCAUGGUUGGUCUUGACGCUCGCGGGAUCUUUCUCGUGAGUGGCUAUUGGGAUAACAUCCUGACGAUAGCCACAAGUCUUGACCGACCGGUCAUCUUGAUGGACAAUUUAUCAAAUUGUCAAUCAACGGGUGUGUGUGUGCUCAUUUAUUUGAGCAAACACCAUUCACAGAAAAGGAUCUCAAAUCAAGUAAGGAUACCCGCUGAACUUAAGCAUAUCAAUAAGCGGAGG